AUCCUUUACAAAACUCCCCACAUGUAAUAUUCUCCUCAAUUCAAGGCUGAGGUAGCCUAAGAAUAGGGUGGCAUUUGCAUUUUACAAAAGAGGAAGUGGCACCUACAGGACACCAGGGGCUUCUCCCAGGGCCAGAGGGAAGCCCCAGCCUAGGCGUCUGAGUCCUAUGCCAGGAACCUGCGGCCCCUCCUGGAGUGGGUAGAGAAUGGAGCACUCACCCACCCAGAAAAGUCCCUUGUUAUUAGUCAUUGGCUUCCCUCUGCAGAAUGAAUGACCAUAUUGUCAUGCUUCUUAUUUGGGCUAUAAAUGUAACUGACCUUGGGCCAUGCUGAUGCAGGAAACUGAGCUCUGAAUUGAAUGAUACUUGAUUGUGUUCAGGCUCACAUAUUUUUCUUAAGAGUCAAAGAAUAAUUAGUCUGGGUAACUACUUAGAGAUCUCAAAGAGAUAAGAGUAAAAUUCUGUAAUGUAAUGCAGUAAGGAUUGUUCAGGCAAGACUUAAGAUUUUGCCGGUAGGGUUCCUCCAAGCUUGGCCUCUGGAGAGCGCUGUCCCACUGAGCAAGACAUAGGCUAUUCAUCAAUUUGAUGGGAGAGUUUGUUAAUAAAAUAAUUUUUUAAAUUACUAAUUUUUAUGCAUUUAUUUGGAAAUACGUCAGACAGUAGGCUAGGUCUGUGGUUGCAGUUUUGAAAAUGGUAAGGUCCCUGACCUCGGAUUCUAGUGGGACUCUGAUGAGAAGAAACUGAUUUUAUGUACCUAAUUGAUUUUGGAAAAACCACUAAUUCUUUUUCAGUUGAACUAGUUUGCUUUAUUUUAGAAGUCUGUGCCUUAUCCUACAAAUGUUGUACAGAAACCUUUUUGUUGCAGAGCCCUUAAUUAUAUAGUAUGUUGUUACACAACCAACCUGGGAGGGAGGUGAAGGGAUCCUUCUCCCCAUUUCACAGAUGAGGAAGUGAAGAUUUGAGAAGUUCAGAUAUGGUGAGCCUGCUUCCUCAUUGUCUCGGAUAGUCCUGACUUCUGCUGCUUGUCCUGGAGUAAUUAUCAGUACCACCCCAUUUCACUCCCACAAGUGCCCUGUUUUGGGUGAUAAAUUGCACUGCUGGCUGAAGUUUAAAAGACUUGUUCCAGUAAGUGGAGGACUUGGCCCUUGAACUCAGAUUUUUAAUACCAAACUAGUUUUUCUUUCUACUAAGACAAAAGAAUGUAACACUUGAUUUAGACAGUUUGAUUGACUAAUACAAUGGAAGAUAAGUUUCCCACAUCCUCAUCUGUGUUCUAAAUCAGAACUUCACUUAGGUGUUACUGGACCUAAGAAAGGAGGAAGUUCCUGCUGGCACACUAGUUAGUUAAUAAAGUUGAAUGACUGGGCUCCUGGAGCAGAGAGAGACCUUUGGGGACCCUAUGGGUCCCACCGCUGAUGAUUGGCUGGACUUGCAGUUUUGCUGAUGCUUGGGUUUGAGUGGAACAGGCUGAUUAGCUGGAAAGCUGGACUGGGUGCUGUGUUUAACCCUUAAAAUUCUCUGCUUGUCUCACUCACAUAUUUUGGGAAGAUUGUAUGCUGGAGCGGCCUUCAACUUGCCGAGGUUGCAGGGAGACAUCUCUUUAAUAUAGAAUGUUUUCCAAUCAUUGGACACCUAAUUUGCUUUGAUUAUCAGUCUGAUGGUCAGACAGCCUUUUAGAGAUUAUCCAGCCUGGAACAAGCAAUGCUUGGCAUUCUAGCUCAGACAGAGCAGUGGGCGGUGGGGAGGGACACUCGCCACCUAGAGGUAGCUUUGUGAUUGGUACAGCACCUGGGCCUCAGUCCUUUGGAGAAAUUCCCAGGAGGGUGCUGCUGUCUGAUGGGCCUGGCAGCUGGCCUCUGGCUCCUGAGGGGCACAGCUCACCCCACUUGAAGUUGGAGCCCAUGGAGAGGGCGGCUCCUUCGGGGAAGCCCAGCUCAGCAGUGCGGCGGCUACAGGAUCGAGCCUAGUGCUGCCAUGACAUCGGCAGUCAGCACAGGUUUCAUUAGUUGGAAUUAACAACUGUUAAUCCCACCUCUGUGGCUGACACCUGUACUGCCUCAGGUGUGUCACUUUGUAAAGUAAUAAUGGUGGUGAUCCAUCUCAGGAGACUGAGGUGUUGAUCAGGUGCCCUCUGUCAUUCUAGACAGGAGCUGUGAAAAAUGAGGAGUUGCCUGCACUGCUGCCUCUGACCUGGGCCUACAGUUCAGUGUCUGAAAUGUGUAGGGUCCGUGCUUUUCAGUGACACACGUUUGUUCAAUAAAUUACGUAAUCUAAGAGGUUAUCUCUAAUCCUGGCUUUGUCUAAGUUUUUAAGGCAGCAAGUGAAUGACUGAAUGGGAGUGAAUAGAGGAAACCAGCCAGGUUUCCCAAAGAAAGACCUGUUUCCUGUACAGAGACUUUUGCUGCAGCAGUAACAUCAAAAUAUCCUACAUAAAACCAGAUUUCUAAAUCGGUGUGAUGGAAUUUCCUUUUAGAUGCUGACUCCAUCAAAGCAUUAAAAAUGUGUGCUAGUAAAAAUUGGCAAAUGUAUUGUUAUUUUAUUGAACAGUAGAAGAGUCUAAAUGUUAUUUUAUGGAAAACUUCAUUUCCUGCCAUGUGUUUUAACUUAGGGCAUGACUAGUUGAGGUUUCAGUUGCGAAAUCUUUUGAUCCAUUAAGUAUGAGAACAUGUACAAAUGUUAAAACGUGUAGUUUCUCCAUCAUGUUUUGCUUAUUCAUAAAAAUAAGGAAUGGUACAUACCAAGGGCCAUGAUUACAAAUCUUAAUUACAUGAAACUAGCUUUACAGUGAAAUAAGGAUGUGGCUUUCAAAAAGACUUUGCUAAUAGUUUUGAUCCACUUUGCUAAAAAUCUUUAUAUAGCCUAUAGUAUUUUUAUUAAAGUGUUAAAAGGGAGGCGUGUCUUUAAAAAUCAUGAGUUGUGCAAGGUAUUUUGUGCGACCAGUUAUAGCAGUUUGCCAAAAUGAUUAGGAUUACCAGUAACAAGUGUAUGAACAUUUAUAUAAAUACCAAUAGACAUAAAGUGUGAACAUUUUUGGUCAUAAAGACUAUCCAAAGGAAAAUACCACUUUUUCAACAGAAAAUGUAGCUUCUUUCCCUCCACUGAAUUUUCUAUUUAGACGUUAGCAAAUGAUAGGUGAUCAUUUCAUGUAGUCUAUCUAGCCUUUGAUGUGAAGUAUGCUCACAUGAUUCAGCUUCUGUAAUAAGAUACUGGGCCCUGUCCCCCUCUCCCCCCCCGUUAAGUAUGAAUCUGGGGUUCCAUGGCUCUUGGGGAUGUGUUGAAAGCUCACACAUAUCUAGUUUUAUUAAGGAAUCUGACAGAUGUCAGUUAAACUGCUGUAAAAGAAACAAUGUAGCUCUUGGCUGUGUUUUUACGAAUUCUUGUGCUGAAAGAAAAUAAUGAAUGUUUAUAAAAUCAACAUUUCUUUUUAUAAGCAACACAAAAAAGAAAGUAGUAUAAUGGAGAGUCCUCUGAUGAUUUUGUACAUGUUUUGUACUACAUGUUUUUGUAGUAAGAUACUUAAUAUAGAGUGUGUGGCAAAGGAAAAUUCUGUUCUGCUGAGAAACCCCUGCCUUCUGUGACCUCUCCCACAGUUUUGGACAUGAAUCUAGAUUUUCUUUAGUGGCUCCCCACCUUCCCCCAUUUGUUAAACAUCAGAAGGCUCCUGAUCUUCUAAUUUUUGUUCUAGAAACCAAUUUUAAGUGACUUUAAGUUCAUUUUCAUUCAUUCUUUGAAUAUUUACUGAAUCUUACUAUAUGCUUUGAGCCCUGUGCUUGACCUGUGGAGCUGACACAGAUGUAAAUUCAUGUAAAUUCUACCCAGUACCUGAUCUCAGGAGGCGUGUGAAUGUGUGGUGGAAAAGGCAUAUUCAUGAGCAUUUACAUUUACAUUAACACAUGCUAAGUAUGAUAAGAAAGGCAGAAACAUUUUAUUGGUAGAGUUGAGAGGAUGGAGAGAAGCAUGAAGACCUCAGGCAGAGGGCUAGUAUUUGAGCAGUGCCUGGGAAGGGUAGGUAGGAGGCUGACAGGACUGAGAGAGUGGUGCAUGCCCAGUGACCCAGGCAAGGGUUUUGGGAUGUAGGCAAGUGUCAUGUGUCUUUGAGGACCAACUAGCAAGUUGUCCAGUUUGGCUGGUAAACCACUAGCACAGGGAUCUGGGAGUUCAAGCUGGUAUGAGUUACAAAAGCCUUUUAUCAUUUUUAAAUUUUAUUUUACUUGAGUGUGAGAGCCCUUGAAGGUUUUUCAGCUGGAGAGUAACUUAGUGAAGUUGGAAUAGGCACCUGUUGACUGAUCUGCAAGAGAAAGGCUCAGGUAGCAGUCCAAGUGAGACGAAAGAAAUUCUUGGCUCAGGCUGGUGGUAAGUGAGCAAGGAGAGGAAAAGACAUGAGCUGAAUUCAUGGAACUUGGCUAUGUGAAAAUGCCUGGAAGUCAAAUACUGUGUGUGUGUGUGUGUGUGUGUGUGUGUGUGUGUGUGUACACCGACUGAAAGUCAAAUACUGUGUGUGUGUGUGUGUGUGUACACCGACUGAAAGUCAAAUACUGUGUGUGUGUGUGUACUGACUGAAAAUGAAUUUGACUUUAUUGAGUCCAAAUAGGCUGUAGAAUUGAAACCCUGAUGAUGGAAAGCAGCUGAUUUUGGGGGCCCUCUGAGAACAAGAGUACCUUCCCCACUUCUGCAUCUCCAUUGUAAGGAACUAUGUUCAAGAACAGUUUGUGGAAGGAAUGGUUGUGGUGGAUUUGAUUAUACACGUGAGUUUACCACUGGCCAGGACCAUCAGGGCCAAGGAUAAGGGCCAAGCAGACCUGGCUUUGAAUCUUGACUCAGCCAUUUCUGAAUGAUCUUGAGCAAGUUACUGAGCCUUUCGGUUUCCUUAUCUGCAGAAUGGAGGAUAACACUGUGUCUUGAUUUUUGCUAAAGGAAUUAGUGCACAUAACACAUUGAUCCCAGCUCUGGUGUACUCCUGAGAUAAGUGCUCCUCAGACAUUGGCUGUUGUUACUCACAGGGCAGUGUGGGUGUGGGCCUGUGGUUGGCAGAAAAGGCAUGAUGAAUUGGGGUGGGGGCUUAGUAGCUCUGGGAAUAUUGGAGGCCACAGCCUAGAAGGAGGCAGUUUAGAGAAAGUGCUCACUGAGGCAGCGCUAAAGGAGAGGCAGGAGGGGACCCAGAGAGCUCAGUGUCAGCUCUCCCAGGCAAGGAGAAUGUUUUAGGGAGGCAAGAAAGUAAAAAGGAUCCCAGUCGGGGAGAUCAGGGAGGGUGAGAACUGACACUGGACAUUGAGUUUGGCUGUUUGGGAAGACGUCCACUAGCUUUGGAAGGCGAAGAGGCAGGAGAACAGAAGCCAGUUGCCUCUGGCGAUGGAAUGCAGUGAGGAAAAAGGGAAAUUCUGACCGGUAGGGAUCAGUGGGGGCAGGUAGGAAAGGCAGAAUUUCUAAAAUACAAAAUAAUUGAUAGGAUGUGAUAGAAUGACCACCAUACUUUACAGGUGUUUAUUGUAGCCCAGGAGGACAGUCCUGAGGGUGCAGGGCUUAGUCUGAGGUUCUGCAUGGCAGCACUGGUAUGGUGGCAUAUGAACAAUAAAUGAGUAAAAAUAUAUAAUGUAAUAAAUACUAAUACACUGAUCAUAAUUAAUGCAAUAAGAUACACAUAAUGGACAUUUGAUAAGUAUUUCCUUUGGGCCAGCAGCAUUACAAGUGUUUUGCAUGUAUUAUCUCAUUUAAUCCUGCCAACAGCUCUCGGCUGUAGGUGGUGGUGUUCUCAUUUUACAGCUGAGGGGGGCUAGGUAAGGUGCCCAGAGUCACACAGCUGGGAAGUAAAUGGUGGAGUCAGGAUUGAGUACCAGGGAUCUAGCCCUAGAACCCAUGCUAUUAACAGCCAUACUAUGUUACUUUUAUUUAGUUGAACUGUUUAGGAUGAGCACUAGAUGAGCAUUGUUAGGUGGCAUUAGAUAUCAUCGUGUCUAAUAGGUCUAGAGAGAGGAAAAGUGCACAUGAGGGGAAGGGCUGGUGGGAGCUGGUGAGGCAGUGUUUCAGGAGGUGGGCAUGACUAGGGUUAGAAAGCAGGCAGAGAGUGUGGAAGAUUCUGCUUUCAGGGAGAAGAGGAAAGGAUUGCUAAAGAUAGAGAGGCAAGGAAUUUUAUAGGAGUAAAAGAAAGGUAGAAGGUUUUAAGAGAGAUUUUGAUAUGAGGGAUACCACCAUCCAUCUUGAGAACUUUCCAGUGGAUUUUUAAGAUUUGUCUCCUGAUAAUUUGAUUCAUCCUAGUUCUGUUAGAGACAGGGGCCUGAAUAAGCUAGCAUUAGGGUGGGAGGUCUGGAGGCUCAGUGACCCUGAUGGCUGCUCAAGUUGCUCUCUAGUAACCCAUGUAGGUAACACCGUCCAAGAAGAAUGACCACCCUUUGGUGCUACUGACCUGGUGUGCUCCCAGAACUGGAUGGAAGGCAGUAGGAGGUUGCCCAAAGGUGGAAGAAAUAAAGAAUGAAGGAAGCUGAGACAUGAUGGAUUUGACAGGUGUUGAGACAGGGAUGACACUUCACUGAAGACUGCCUGACUCACCCCUUACGAUUUUCUAAAAACCAGAUAGGUCAUUUAGAAUAGUGCUCCUCAAACUGCCUGUAGGGAAGGGCUGUUUUGUUGUUAUUUUAAGAUUGUGGACUGUUUAUAUUUCUCAAACUGUCUCUAGCACAGGGCUGUUCUGUUAUUUUAAGGUUGUGGACUGUUUAUAUUUUGCAAAAUACAAUAAAAUAAAAUUAGAAAAAAUUAAAGACACUAAAGAAUGUAAA
Molecule: non-coding RNA, 6768 nt
Organism: Manis javanica (Malayan pangolin)
Lineage: Eukaryota; Metazoa; Chordata; Mammalia; Pholidota; Manidae
Source: RefSeq, a predicted model, not a curated record